This is a long non-coding RNA of Nasonia vitripennis (jewel wasp), 886 nucleotides long. RefSeq lists it as uncharacterized. Lineage: Eukaryota; Metazoa; Arthropoda; Insecta; Hymenoptera; Pteromalidae. The record is from RefSeq and is a predicted model, not a curated record. The transcript is spliced from 2 exons.
GACUUAAGCUCGUGUUCCUGUUGAUUAUGGCGCAUCUGCUCCUCGAGGGCGGCGGCAUUUUGCAAGUUGUAAUUGACAGUUAGUACAGCGCUGCUGUAGUUCGCGUGACUCGUAAACUUGCACUUAAAGUCAUGAGGCGGCCCGCAGUGGAACAGGUAGCAGCUUCCUGGUUUCUAAAAUUGGAAAUAUACUCGUUAUUCAUGUGUCAUACAAAUUUAUUCGUGGAUAUUUGUAAAAUAUGUCGACUAAACGCGAUUGAUUUUGUGUAAUAUAUAAGGGUCACUGAUCAUCGUUUCUACUGGCUCGUGUCAGCUAGCUUUUGCAUCAAAAAAUCAUAUUUGUUUAUCUUUAUUAGCAAUAAUCAACAGAAGUUUAAUUAAUUAUUAUCAUGACAAUCGCUCAAUUAUAAAAGUAGGCAAUGCCGAGUUACAACUGUACAGUUAAAGACUCCAACCCCACCGACAAUGGGUCCUAAGUAGUACAAAAAUGCGCGUGUCAGGCAAACGUUUAGUUUAUUUCGAAUAAAUAACCGCAACUCGCACUGUAUAUGAUAUAAUGCGGACCCUCUACGAAGUUGACACACUUUUCUAACUAUACUACUUGGAUUAAGAGUGCUCCACACCUUGAGUGACCCGCCACCUAGCGAAGAAAACGUUUUUUGUUUAUUAUAAUGAAUUGACUAACUUUAUCAUCAUAAAUCGAGUUUCAGCACGUGAAAUAAGUAUUAAUGAAUGUUUGAAAAAAAAAUUAACGGAAUAAAAUGUGAAUUUAAACUUUUACCUAAUAAACUUAAUUUUGUAAUAUUCCUUGAUACACACUACACUUGCUGAAACUCACUAAUACCCACUUUUCAACCUUUAAGUUUGUUUAAAUUAUUAAUGGUUAU